UAGGUGCUAAUACCGCAUAACAGAGGGAGUCGCAUGACUUCGUCUUAAAAACUCCGGUGGUGUAAGAUGGACCCGCGUCUGAUUAGCUGGUUGGCGGGGUAGCGGCCCACCAAGGCGACGAUCAGUAGCCGGCCUGAGAGGGUGAACGGCCACAUUGGGACUGAGACACGGCCCAAACUCCUACGGGAGGCAGCAGUGGGGAAUAUUGGACAAUGGGGGGAACCCUGAUCCAGCGACGCCGCGUGAGUGAAGAAGUAUUUCGGUAUGUAAAGCUCUAUCAGCAGGGAAGAAAGAAAUGACGGUACCUGACUAAGAAGCCCCGGCUAACUACGUGCCAGCAGCCGCGGUAAUACGUAGGGGGCAAGCGUUAUCCGGAUUUACUGGGUGUAAAGGGAGCGUAGACGGUAGUGCAAGUCUGGAGUGAAAGGCGGGGGCCCAACCCCCGGACUGCUCUGGAAACUGUGCGACUAGAGUGCAGGAGAGGUAAGUGGAAUUCCUAGUGUAGCGGUGGAAUGCGUAGAUAUUAGGAGGAACAUCAGUGGCGAAGGCGACUUUCUGGACUGUAACUGACGCUGAGGCACGAAAGUGUGGGGAGCAAACAGGAUUAGAUACCCUGGUAGUCCACACUGUAAACGAUGGAUACUAGGUGU
This 650-nucleotide ribosomal RNA is filed under the name uncultured bacterium. Its description in RNAcentral is "bacterial SSU rRNA". It matches the Rfam family "Bacterial small subunit ribosomal RNA", at positions 157 to 823 of the family's 1533-position model. The record is from RNAcentral.